Molecule: ribosomal RNA, 252 nt
Filed under: uncultured bacterium
Lineage: Bacteria
Description: partial 16S ribosomal RNA
Rfam family: Bacterial small subunit ribosomal RNA
Source: RNAcentral
UACGGAGGAUGCGAGCGUUAUCCGGAUUUAUUGUGUUUAAAGGGUGCGUAGGCGGACUGUCAAGUCAGCGGUAAAAUUGAGAGGCUCAACCUCUUCCCGCCGUUGAAACUGGUGGUCUUGAGUGGAUGAGAAGUACGCGGAAUGCGUGGUGUAGCGGCGAAAUGCAUAGAUAUCACGCAGAACUCCGAUUGCGAAGGCAGCGUACCGGCAUCCAACUGACGCUGAGGCACGAAAGCGUGGGGAUCAAACAGG